UACAGAGGUCCCAAGCGUUGUUCGGAUUCACUGGGCGUAAAGUGUGCGCAGGUGGCCGCGCAAGUCGAGUGUGAAAUCCCCGGGCUUAACUUGGGAAUUGCGCUCGAAACUACGUGGCUCGAGUGUGGCAGAGGGGGGUGGAAUUCCACGUGUAGCGGUGAAAUGCGUAGAGAUGUGGAGGAACACCAAUGGCGAAGGCAGCCCCCUGGGCCAACACUGACGCUCAUGCACGAAAGCGUGGGGAGCAAACAGG
RNAcentral lists this ribosomal RNA (253 nucleotides) under uncultured bacterium. RNAcentral's name for it is "partial 16S ribosomal RNA". It matches the Rfam family "Bacterial small subunit ribosomal RNA", at positions 524 to 776 of the family's 1533-position model. The record is from RNAcentral.